CCUGACCCCUGGUCAGAGAUGAGAACCCUCCUUUCAGCUUCCAUGGCCUCCUGCACUUCUCUCUCCCACAGCCCUUGCGCUACAGGGUUGUAACUGUCCACUGACCCAUCUGUCGACUUCACUUGGCCCUGAGCUUUGGUCCCAGGAAAUCCAGCUUUCCUUGAGACGUCUCAGAAUUGACCUCUGAGACUGGAGGAAAGCACAUCAAGCUCACUGCCUUGCAAGGCAAUUACAGUUACAAAUGGGAGAAGGAGGACGUGACAGAGUGGCAUGCCCUAAGAAGCCCCAGCCACAUGGAGAGACCAUGGGAGAAGAGUGAGAUGCUCCAGUCAACAGACCCAGUUGAGCCUUCAGCUGCUACCAGGACCAACAAGCAGCGUGGAUACUGCAAUUAAGGCCCAGAGAAGACCAUUUCCAGGGUCAAGAUCCACCAAUUGUCAGGCCGGAACCCCGGUCUCUUGGCACCAACUCCAGGUCUUUUUCUGUCACCCCGUCUUUCCUCACUGGUGAUGGUUCUCAGGAG
This 523-nucleotide long non-coding RNA is filed under the name Equus asinus (donkey). RNAcentral's name for it is "lncRNA (ENSEASG00005035086.1)". The record is from RNAcentral. Lineage: Eukaryota; Metazoa; Chordata; Mammalia; Perissodactyla; Equidae.